AAUGAAGUGCCUGAUUAAAGGGUUAUCUUGAUAGGAUAAAUCAAGUAAAAUUUACCUUCAUUA
RNAcentral lists this transfer RNA (63 nucleotides) under Dictyophorus spumans. Its description in RNAcentral is "tRNA-Ile". The record is from RNAcentral. Lineage: Eukaryota; Metazoa; Arthropoda; Insecta; Orthoptera; Pyrgomorphidae.